UACGUAGGGUGCAGGCGUUAAUCGGAAUUACUGGGCGUAAAGCGUGCGCAGGCGGUUUCUUAAGUCAGAUGUGAAAGCCCCGGGCUUAACCUGGGAACUGCGUUUGAAACUGGGAGACUUGAGUGUCGCAGAGGGGGGUGGAAUUCCACGUGUAGCAGUGAAAUGCGUAGAUAUGUGGAGGAACACCGAUGGCGAAGGCAGCCCCCUGGGUUAACACUGACGCUCAUGCACGAAAGCGUGGGGAGCAAACAGG
This 253-nucleotide ribosomal RNA is filed under the name uncultured bacterium. RNAcentral's name for it is "partial 16S ribosomal RNA". It matches the Rfam family "Bacterial small subunit ribosomal RNA", at positions 524 to 776 of the family's 1533-position model. The record is from RNAcentral.